This 780-nucleotide ribosomal RNA is filed under the name uncultured bacterium. RNAcentral describes it as "bacterial SSU rRNA". It matches the Rfam family "Bacterial small subunit ribosomal RNA", at positions 79 to 870 of the family's 1533-position model. The record is from RNAcentral.
CUUGCUGGGGUGAUUAGUGGCGAACGGGUGAGUAACACGUGAGUAACCUGCCCCUGACUCUGGGAUAAGCCCGGGAAACUGGGUCUAAUACUGGAUAUGCACCGUGGACCGCAUGGUCCUUGGUGGAAAGAUUUUUUGGUCAGGGAUGGACUCGCGGCCUAUCAGCUUGUUGGUGAGGUAAUGGCUCACCAAGGCGACGACGGGUAGCCGGCCUGAGAGGGUGACCGGCCACACUGGGACUGAGACACGGCCCAGACUCCUACGGGAGGCAGCAGUGGGGAAUAUUGCACAAUGGGCGAAAGCCUGAUGCAGCGACGCCGCGUGAGGGAUGACGGCCUUCGGGUUGUAAACCUCUUUCAGUAGGGAAGAAGCGAAAGUGACGGUACCUGCAGAAGAAGCGCCGGCUAACUACGUGCCAGCAGCCGCGGUAAUACGUAGGGCGCAAGCGUUAUCCGGAAUUAUUGGGCGUAAAGAGCUCGUAGGCGGUUUGUCGCGUCUGCCGUGAAAGUCCGAGGCUCAACCUCGGAUCUGCAGUGGGUACGGGCAGACUAGAGUGAUGUAGGGGAGACUGGAAUUCCUGGUGUAGCGGUGAAAUGCGCAGAUAUCAGGAGGAACACCGAUGGCGAAGGCAGGUCUCUGGGCAUUAACUGACGCUGAGGAGCGAAAGCAUGGGGAGCGAACAGGAUUAGAUACCCUGGUAGUCCAUGCCGUAAACGUUGGGCACUAGGUGUGGGGGACAUUCCACGUUUUCCGCGCCGUAGCUAACGCAUUAAGUGCCCC